GGGUGGGCCUUGUUUCUGAGGAAAUAAAGAGGCCCUGGAACCUCCCCAGCGAGUGAAAGAAUGAUUUCCAGAUACUCCAGUGGAGUGGCCUCCUGGCGGCCUGAGCUGGACGUGCUUGGCAGUGUUUCCAUCCGGCUGGCCAGUGUCCUGAGGUUAGCGAAGCAGAAGGAGAAGCUUAGGGGAGCUCAAAGACAUGCACGUGCCAGUAUUUUUGAUAAAUGCUCAGUUAAUUGUUUUCUAUGAUUCUUCUCCUGAGACACAUACUGUGCACACCAGGCACCAAGAACUAUCCCCUCCCAUCACCCCAGAUCCCAGGGGGAACUCCAUAAUGACAUAUAUUUGGGCCAAGCAUCUACCCCACAGGAAAUGGAUGGAUCAGCCCCUGGAGAUGAAAGAAUGAUGCAGGGCAUGGGAAAGCAGAGAAAUAUCCUGAGUGAGAAAGAAAGAAAAUCCACACAAGCAAAGCUGGAGAGUUUAUAUAUUUAAUACCGAUAAGAGAAACUCAGAAUUUCUUAUAAAGAUACUAAGAAAUGGUGGUCAGAAGAGGCCUGGGACAGACGAAAUUCACCAAAGUCUCUACCACAGACAUUCUCAGAUGGUGCUAAUAAAAAGAAGAAACCCAAACCAGAAUUGGUGGUCCACAUUGUGAGUUGCUAAAUAUCAUCACAAAGCAAUAAUUAUCCUAUGGCAUGCUUGGUGGCUCAACAUUCUGAAAUGUAAAUGUCAAGGGCAGAUAGUCUCAACGAUGUUGCUAAUGGGAGCUCA
This is a long non-coding RNA of Propithecus coquereli (Coquerel's sifaka), 765 nucleotides long. RefSeq lists it as uncharacterized. The record is from RefSeq and is a predicted model, not a curated record. NCBI's taxonomy places the organism in Eukaryota, Metazoa, Chordata, Mammalia, Primates, Indriidae. The transcript is spliced from 2 exons.